RNAcentral lists this long non-coding RNA (2749 nucleotides) under Pongo abelii (Sumatran orangutan). RNAcentral describes it as "lincRNA". The record is from RNAcentral. Lineage: Eukaryota; Metazoa; Chordata; Mammalia; Primates; Hominidae.
GCAGACUUGAAUAGAACUAAAAGGAAGAGGAAGGGCAAAUUUGUUGGCUGCUUGAGCUGGGAUAUUCAUCUUUCUCCUGACCCUGGACAUCAGAACUCCUGAUUCUCAAGCCUUUGGGUUUGGACUGGGGGCACCAGCUUUCCUGGGCCUCCAGCUUGCAGAUGGCAUAUCAUGGAACUUCUUAGCCUCCAAAUUCAUAACUCUAAUACACCAGUACAAUGGAAAGAUUCCUAAAUUCAAAAGCCAGAAGGCUGGGUUCCUGUUCCCAUCGUGCCUUUUACCUUCUGUGUGGUCCUGAUGAAGACACUUCAUGCUCCACUAUUUACUUACCUCUGAAAUGAAGGGCUGACCCAGAUCAGUUGUUCUCUGAUCUGCUUCGAGGGACUCAGAGGCUGUGGAGCAACAGAUUUGGGAAUGAGGAUUCAUUCCCUGGAAGAGUCAGAGCGCUCGUAGACACAUUCUGCUGGGUUGCACGAGCUCCUCCCCUGGGAAAUCCACUAAGACUAGAGGAAAGAAUUGCUGGGAGGAUUCAGAGGCUGAAGAGUGGACAGAGGGCUUUAAUUGAGAAAAAGAAGCAGAAAAUUGAGGAAGAUGUGAGGCGUCAAUGCCAGCAGACAACAUGUGACAGGUGCUAGCCACAUGGAUCACACUAAAUUUCUGUCAUUUAUAUAGAUAAAAAAGAAUUUCCAAAGAGCUCCUCCAUAAUUCAGCAUUAGCCAGCUUUAAAUCACCACCUUUCUUUACCUUUUCAAAGCACGUUUAUCUAGCUAGCUUUCAUUUUCAGAGUGGCCAAUUCAGGUGAGGAUUCUCAAUCCUGUUCUGCAGCUGAGGAACUCAUGCUCAAAAGGGCUAAGAGUUUAUUCUCCUACGUCCAAAUAUCUUGCUUUUCCAAAUCUUGUGCUCACUUUACCUACACAUUUUGAUUUUUCCGGGAUGACAACAAGUUAGACAUGCAGACUCCUCAGGCUCAUUCAUAAUCUGUAUAGAUAUUACAGGUCAUGCAAAUUUAAGAAAAGGCUAAAAGGUGCCCGUUUGCACCCAACAUGUUGGAUAAUGACCCGGUAAAAUGCAACAUCAGUUUCCACAGCCUCGCUCUAUAAGUUUCCUUGGAAUUGCAAAAGCAUAGGACUCUGCCUCAUACUUAUUUCUACACGGCAAUGAGGAUAUAGAAGAGCAGACCGAAAGGAGAAAGGAAUUUUAAAAGCCAUGGAAAGCUGCCCUAAAUGUGGUUGGAUAUAGAGAGGAGAGUGCUGAAGGCAAACAGCUGUGCCCUCUUUGCCUUUUUGCUGAGGAAGGGGAUUUAAGCCAAAAGAACACACGUAAACGUGGAUUUCUUAAAGUUCUCAGUGUAAUUAUGUAGGCUUGGGAGAUGAGGAAUUGUGAAGUAGAGGCUGGCUUAAACAAAUGAUAAAUGCUUGAGGUGAUGGGCACCCUACUUACCCUGAUGUGAUUAUUACACAUAGCAUUCCUGUAUCAAAAUAUCCCGUGUAACCCAUAAAUAUAUACACCUACCAGUAUAUUUCUGAGGCUAAUCUGAAAGCCACCUGCACCCUUGUGAAGACACCCACAUGGACUUCUGCUUCCCCUCCUACCCUCUGGCCUCAAGAGCUCCCUGGGCUCUCCUGUUGCAGGAGGGAGAAGCAGAGCUUCUUUAUGUUCCUGGUAAGGAUCGCUGAAGACAAUUCCUUAGGCUUGGAUAAUUCCCAGACAUUUGCUAAAAAGCAGCAUCCUCCAAAGCUUUAAUUUGGAUCACAGGAAAAUGAUGCUCCCACCUCAUAUUCAAACACAGUUUUAUCUCACACUGCAAGCUCCCUGGCACGGGUAAAGUCCUCAAUGCCUUUCCUGGUGGUUUCCAACAUCAAGGACAUUUGUUCCUCCUCCUAGCUCUCUCCCUCAGCCAAGUCCUUCCUUACAAUGAAUUGUCCUGCAGAACUCUCUCUUAAGCUUGGCUUCUGGGGUGGAAAACCUACUUUCUGAAAGGGCGUGGGGACCGUCAGAGCAUGAACUGGACUCAAGCUCCCAAUUACAGAGCAGACACAGGGCUCUGCCUGCACCAGGCCAUCCCUGGUUCCUCGCAGCUCCAGGACUCUCUUCCGGCAUCUAGAUCCAGCUACUCUCAUUCCAGCUUUGUGUCCUGUUUGAUACAAAAUCUUUAUUCCUUCCUGUUUCAAUCCCUGUCGCAUAUUCUGUGUGACAAAGCAACAAGCUGGAAAUCGAGUUCUGAGUUUUAUACCCAGCUCUGCUACAAAUGUGCCAUGACCUUGAACAAGUCACAUGACUUAUCUGGACCUGGAAUCUCUCAUCUGUAAAAAGAGGAAGCUGAGCUAUACUACUUUUAAAAUGUCUCCAGCUUUAAUUUUAUUAGAAUAUCAGCUGCUUCCUCCUCUGGUUUCUCAUGGCAGGUUGUGCAUUCUUCUCUGAAGACAUCAUAUUUCAUUGGAGUGUCUCUCCUUACAAAUGUAUUUCCCCACUAGAUUGGCCCCUCAAGAACAAGGAUUGUAUUUUAGUUACCUCUGUUAUCUCUGUACCUGGGGAGGAGGGAGAAAAGGAGAGCAGGAAAGGGAAUGGUAUAGUACCAACAUUUGUUGAGCUUCUAUUAAGAGGAAUUUUCUAUGCUACACAUUGUACAUAAAGUAUGUAUGAUUCACAGUAUAAACAUUAUAAUCUGGAAUCGACCUAAAUGUUCAUCAGCAGAUGAAUGGAUAAAGAAAAUGUGGUAUAUAGACGCAACACAACACUAUACAGCCAU